Long non-coding RNA from Sebastes umbrosus (honeycomb rockfish), 148 nucleotides. RefSeq lists it as uncharacterized. The record is from RefSeq and is a predicted model, not a curated record. Lineage: Eukaryota; Metazoa; Chordata; Actinopteri; Perciformes; Sebastidae. The transcript has 3 exons.
GUCAACACACCGAUCGAAAGGGAGUCGGGUUCAGAUCCCCGAAUCUGGAGUGGCGGAGAUAGGCGCCACGAGGCGUCCAGUGCGGAAAUGCAAACGAUCCCGGAGAAGCUGGCGGGAGCCCCGGGGAGAGCAUCGUUUAGGGAAAGGU